RNAcentral lists this ribosomal RNA (497 nucleotides) under uncultured bacterium. RNAcentral's name for it is "partial 16S ribosomal RNA". It matches the Rfam family "Bacterial small subunit ribosomal RNA", at positions 28 to 507 of the family's 1533-position model. The record is from RNAcentral.
GACGAACGCUGGCGGCGUGCCUAAUACAUGCAAGUUGAGCGAUGAAGAUUGGUGCUUGCACCAAUUUGAAAAGCAGCGAACGGGUGAGUAACGCGUGGGGAAUCUGCCUUUGAGCGGGGGACAACAUUUGGAAACGAAUGCUAAUACCGCAUAACAACUUUAAACAUAAGUUUUAAGUUUGAAAGAUGCAAUUGCAUCACUCAAAGAUGAUCCCGCGUUGUAUUAGCUAGUUGGUGAGGUAAAGGCUCACCAGGGCGAUGAUACAUAGCCGACCUGAGAGGGUGAUCGGCCACAUUGGGACUGAGACACGGCCCAAACUCCUACGGGAGGCAGCAGUAGGGAAUCUUCGGCAAUGGACGAAAGUCUGACCGAGCAACGCCGCGUGAGUGAAGAAGGUUUUCGGAUCGUAAAACUCUGUUGGUAGAGAAGAACGUUGGUGAGAGUGGAAAGCUCAUCAAGUGACGGUAACUACCCAGAAAGGGACGGCUAACUACGUG